GACAGAGGUUGCAAACGUUGUUCGGAAUUACUGGGCAUAAAGCGCACGUAGGUGGUCCGCUAAGUCGGAUGUGAAAUUCCCCGGCUCAACCGGGGAACGGCAAUCGAUACUGGCGGGCUUGAGGUCCGGAGGGGUGAGUGGAACUCCUGGUGGAGCGGUGAAAUGCGUAGAUAUCAGGAGGAACACCAGUGGCGAAGGCGACUACCUGGCCUGUUCUUGACGCUGAGGCGCGAAAGCUAGGGGAGCAAACGGG
This 253-nucleotide ribosomal RNA is filed under the name uncultured bacterium. RNAcentral's name for it is "partial 16S ribosomal RNA". It matches the Rfam family "Bacterial small subunit ribosomal RNA", at positions 524 to 776 of the family's 1533-position model. The record is from RNAcentral.